UGUAAACUGAGUGCCACGGACCUGGAGCAAGUGGGAGAGCCGGUGUGCACGAGAGAAAAGAUGGAGCCGCACAAAGCCGCCCCUCCACCCACCCGCGCUCUCCUUUUGAGUCGAGCUGCGCUACAGAGUUUGCAGCGUGAUGUGUGCCUAAGGCGUCCUUGGCAAGGGACUCUGCCUAACGCAUCCUCUUUGUCAGGGAGACGCUCGGAAGGGGCUCAGCCAUUUCUCCCGCUGAACUGCAAAUGUUUCCCCCUCAUUCUCGGCCCGCUGACUUGGGGUUAGCUGGCGGGGCCGGGGACAAAGCGCUUCGCCUGCCCUCUAAAAAUAGAAAGCAUUCAAUGUUAUUCCCCGAAGUGCCACCCUAGGGAAGGGAACUUUCAGGAAUAGCAUCACAAGCGUCUAAUCGAGCGGAUUGGUCAGUGCGGUGAGGUCACUUGCAGAAGCUCUGCCUCCUGAAAGCUGGAGUGGAGGGAAUAUACCAGCUCAGAGAGCUUCCUCGUAGAAAGGCCUGAUUCCUCCCUGUUGUCACUCCAUAGAAGUCAAUUGGAAGAGAUAUUUGACUCCUUGUUAUUUUCAACCAUGUGUCUAUCUACACAAACCAGGAAGAAGUCAAAGGACCCUUUUCUUACCUAACCGGAUUCUCCGCCCUCAUGUUGGAAUUUGAUUAACCCAGCAGCCUACCUUUCUAAGUAUCAGCUCCCUAGCCUGAGACAAUGCUUAAGGUUCCAGGAAAUGAAACAGAAUAAUGAGUAGUUACCCUUUUAGACCCACGAUGACCUGGGACAGCAUUCCUUCAUAGGAACUGAUCCUGCACACCCUUACUAUUACAAUGGGAUCAGUUGUGUAAGCGCUUCAGUUUUAUCCGUAAAAAAUAGACUGCAGGUAUAAUUAUGGGGAGAGAGAAAAUUUCUGCUGUAGUUCAAGUUUAUAAGCUGCCUAUUAUAAAUUCAGUUUUGACCCUUCCCAACUAAACCAAUUCUUCACAUUAUUAUUUCCGAUUGCUGCAGUGUGUUAGGUUUUGUACAGAGGAAUAUCAUACCUGCAUUAAGGAAUUUAAACUGUAAAUUAAAUAAACUAUAUAGUUCAGAUAUACAGUACACCAAAUGAUGGUUCAAAAUUGUUUAGAUAUCUUUAUUUAAAAUUACGAUUUUAAAAGGCACAUGUAAUUUUGGUGAAUUAAUGUUCAUAAGAUCUGAAGAAGAAAAGUGUUUUAAGGAGGGACUGAAAUGAAUACAUUGUCUUAAUGCAAAAGACUUGUUUAAGGUUUUGAAAGUGAUUCUUUAAAGUAGGUUUUCCAAACUGUGCAUUAUGACCCAGAAAAGGGUCAUAGAAUGGGUGUGGGAUGAGUAAAAAUGUAAAAUUUAGUUUGUUUAAUCCACAAAUGUAAACUGAUUUUCUUUGGCUGCCUCUGAAGAGCCAUACUGAGCUGCAGUUGCAGAAGUUUGAAAAUUCUCAUCCCAUUUCAUCCUAAUAUCUUUAUAAAUCAAGUUCCUCUUCUGAUGGUGAUGAUAUAACAAAGAAAAAUUUCAAUUGCCUAUCUACUGAAAUGGUUUCAAAUUCAAUGGUCCAUGUUUCAUUAGCAAUACAGGCUAAACCACUUUGUUUAAUUGUACUUAAAGUGUUUCAUCUUCUUGAAAAUUGAAAUUUAUUUUCUGAAGCGUUAUAAAUAGCUUUUAUUUCUGAAA
Pelodiscus sinensis (Chinese soft-shelled turtle) is the source of this 1685-nucleotide non-coding RNA. Lineage: Eukaryota; Metazoa; Chordata; Testudines; Trionychidae. The record is from RefSeq and is a predicted model, not a curated record.